Molecule: ribosomal RNA, 743 nt
Filed under: uncultured bacterium
Lineage: Bacteria
Description: bacterial SSU rRNA
Rfam family: Bacterial small subunit ribosomal RNA
Source: RNAcentral
UGGGCCAUUCCUGACGCUGAGAUGCGAAAUUAGGGGGAGAGAACGGGAUUAGAAACCCCGGUAUUCCUAGCCGUAAACGAUGUCAACUAGGUGUAGGGGGUAUCCAACCCCUCUGUGCUGUAGCAAACGCGUUAAGUUGACCGCCUGGGGACUACGGCCGCAAGGCUAAAACUCAAAGGAAUUGACGGGGACCCGCACAAGCAGCGGAGCGUGUGGUUUAAUUCGAGGCUACGCGAAGAACCUUACCAGGGUUUGACAUGACGGUGGUAGGGAUGUGAAAGCUGACCGACCCUUCGGGGAGCCGUCACAGGUGCUGCAUGGCUGUCGUCAGCUCGUGCCGUGAGGUGUUAGGUUAAGUCCUGUAACGAGCGCAACCCUCGUCGCUAGUUAUACGUGUCUAGCGAGACUGCCGGUGAUAAGCCGGAGGAAGGUGAGGAUGACGUCAAGUCAGCAUGGCCUUUAUAUCCUGGGCUACACACACGCUACAAUGGCCGGUACAAUGGGUAGCAAAACCGCGAGGUGGAGCCAAUCCCCCAAAGCCGGUCUCAGUUCGGAUUGCAGGCUGCAACUCGCCUGCAUGAAGUCGGAGUUGCUAGUAACCGCGCGUCAGCAACAGUGCGGUGAAUACGUUCCCGGGUCUUGUACACACCGCCCGUCACGUCAUGGAAGUUGGCAACGCCUGAAGUCAGUGAGCUAACCCUAACGGGAGGCAGCUGCCCAAGGCGGGGUCGGUAACUGGGACG